GUUACAGUGGCUUAGUGGUUAGAACGUUUGUCUCGCAAGCUCAUGGUUGAAGGUUUGAUUCCCACAUCUUUCG
This is a non-coding RNA of Ameiurus melas (black bullhead), 73 nucleotides long. Lineage: Eukaryota; Metazoa; Chordata; Actinopteri; Siluriformes; Ictaluridae. The record is from the annotation of a GenBank genome assembly.